Small nucleolar RNA from Larimichthys crocea (large yellow croaker), 181 nucleotides. Lineage: Eukaryota; Metazoa; Chordata; Actinopteri; Sciaenidae. The record is from Ensembl.
GGUGGUCGGUGUGCACGGUGUUAGUCUGUGUUACGUGCUGUUGUCGGCCUGCGUUUUGCAGACUCGGCAGCAGCGCUCACUCCACACCUGCAGCCAUAGAACGACAGGAGAUCAUAGUACUGGCCUUUGACGUCUUCGUUGACCUCUCACCAUCGGCCAGCCUCCAAACUCUCCAACACGC